GCUCAGAUUGAACGCUGGCGGCAUGCCUAACACAUGCAAGUCGAACGGUAACAGAUAAGAUGAUCUUUUCGGAGUGAAUCUUUGCUGACGAGUGGCGGACGGGUGAGUAAUGCUUGGGAAUCUGCCCAAUAGUGGGGGAAAACUCGGGGAAACCCGGGCUAAUACCGCAUAAUCUCUACGGAGGAAAGAGGGCCUCUACGUGUAAGCUCUCGCUAAUGGAUGAGCCCAAGUCAGAUUAGCUUGUUGGUAAGGUAAUGGCUUACCAAGGCUACGAUCUGUAGCUGGUCUGAGAGGAUGAUCAGCCACACUGGGACUGAGACACGGCCCAGACUCCUACGGGAGGCAGCAGUGGGGAAUAUUGCACAAUGGGCGCAAGCCUGAUGCAGCAAUGCCGCGUGUGUGAAGAAGGCUCUAGGGUUGUAAAGCACUUUCAAUAGAGAAGAAAAGCUUGAAGUUAAUAUCUUCAAGCCUUGACGUAACCUAUACAAGAAGCACCGGCUAAUUCCGUGCCAGCAGCCGCGGUAAUACGGAAGGUGCGAGCGUUAAUCGGAAUUACUGGGCGUAAAGCGAGCGUAGGCUGUUAAUUAAGUCGAAUGUGAAAUCCCCGGGCUCAACCUGGGAACUGCAUUCGAAACUAUUUGACUAGAGUAUGGGAGAGGAAAGUAGAAUUUCCGGUGUAGCGGUGAAAUGCGUAGAUAUCGGAAGGAAUACCAGUGGCGAAGGCGGCUUUCUGGAACAAUACUGACGCUGAGGUUCGAAAGCGUGGGGAGCAAACAGGAUUAGAUACCCUGGUAGUCCACGCCGUAAACGAUGAGAACUAGAUGUUGGAAGGAUUGGCCUUUCAGUGUCGCAGCUAACGCAAUAAGUUCUCCGCCUGGGGAGUACGACCGCAAGGUUGAAACUCNA
This 906-nucleotide ribosomal RNA is filed under the name uncultured Gammaproteobacteria bacterium. RNAcentral describes it as "SSU rRNA". It matches the Rfam family "Bacterial small subunit ribosomal RNA", at positions 22 to 904 of the family's 1533-position model. Lineage: Bacteria; Pseudomonadati; Pseudomonadota; Gammaproteobacteria. The record is from RNAcentral.